AGUGAACGCUGGCGGCAGGCCUAACACAUGCAAGUCGAACGGCAGCACAGUAAGAGUUUGCUCUUACGGGUGGCGAGUGGCGGACGGGUGACGAAUGCAUCGUAAUCUUCUUUUUCGUGGAGGAUAACGUAGGGAAACUUACGAUAAUACCGCAUAUGAUGUACGGGUGAAAGCAGGGGAUCUUCGCACCUUGCGCGAUUGAAUGAGCCGAUGUCGGACUAGCUAGUUGGGGGGGUAAAGGCCCACCAAGGCGACGAUCCGUAGCCGGUCUGAGAGGAUGGUCGGCCACACUGGAACUGAGACACGGUCCAGACGCCUAAGAGAGGCAGCAGUCGGGAAUGGUAGGCAAUGGGCGCAAGCCUGAUCCAGCCAGCCCGCGUGUGUGACGAAGGCCUUCGGGUCGUAAAGCCCUCUUGUUGGGUGAGAACAGCUGUAGGUUAAGACGCCGCGGUACUGACGGUACCGAAUAAAUAAGCACCGGCUAACUACGUG
RNAcentral lists this ribosomal RNA (492 nucleotides) under uncultured bacterium. RNAcentral's name for it is "partial 16S ribosomal RNA". It matches the Rfam family "Bacterial small subunit ribosomal RNA", at positions 29 to 507 of the family's 1533-position model. The record is from RNAcentral.